UACGUAGGGACCAAGCGUUGUUCGGAUUUACUGGGCGUAAAGGGCGCGUAGGCGGCUUGACAAGUCACUUGUGAAAUCUCCGGGCUUAACUCGGAACGGCCAAGUGAAACUGUCAUGCUAGAGUGCAGAAGGGGCAAUCGGAAUUCUUGGUGUAGCGGUGAAAUGCGUAGAUAUCUGGAGGAACACCGAUGGCGAAGGCAGCCCCCUGGGUCAACACUGACGCUCAUGCACGAAAGCGUGGGGAGCAAACAGG
This 253-nucleotide ribosomal RNA is filed under the name uncultured bacterium. RNAcentral describes it as "partial 16S ribosomal RNA". It matches the Rfam family "Bacterial small subunit ribosomal RNA", at positions 524 to 776 of the family's 1533-position model. The record is from RNAcentral.